AAAUCGCCGGUGGCCGCCUCCACUCUUGAUCGGCGCCACUCUCUCGACAUGAGAUCCAGUCCUACGUCGUAUGUGCUCUAUUUCCUUAUGGUCAUGGAGGAGAGGUGAGGUUCUCCCACGGCGAAGAACGCCAUGUCUGUGCUGGUUGGACGCUCUCCCACCGCCUCUCUUUUCUAAGGGCCCCUCUCCAUCUAGAUCCGACGAGUUCGACGCAGCGCAAGGUCGCCGUCUGCCUGUCCCCGCGAGAACCUACCUGCAGCAGGCUAGCGCCAUCCACGAGAUUGGACACAUCCUCAUCAAGGGUCUUCCUUGCAAGGCUGAAGGCUGGCCAACGUCUCCUCCCCCGGCGAGCUGCGUCGUGACUCUGCGCCAUCAUUGGCCGCUUGCGCUAGCCCAGCUCCGUGCGACCGCAGGGAGGGUUGGCAACACCUCUUCCCCUUCCGACAGAGAUGGUGAUAUUCCUCCAUCUGGUUACAUUUUUUGUGUAUAUAUAUGAACUGUUGGUUUUUACCACAAAAUGUAUUCUGUUAGACACUGAUAUUGCUGUGGGCAUAGCCAAGUUCUCUUUCAUUUCAUGAGGUGAUACCGUCUGAAAGUGCUGUUGUAGUUCUCUUUCAACUUAUUAAGUAGUUGUCCUCCAUUCUAUUUGAUUCUCGCAUCAUAUAUGAAAGGGCAUCAAUGGAAAAUUGUGCUUGUUCUUAAUACUGUUGGUUAUGUUCUAUUUUGUAGGAAAUCGAUCACAAUUGAUCUGCAGACAUGCAUCAGAAGUUUCUAGCUUUAACUGAAUCACUUUCUAGCAUCACUGAUAACUCACUUUGUAAAAAAAAACUUAGGCGAAAUAUUUGGUAAACUUGCAAAAAUACAUAUGCAGACACAUUUGGUGUGGUUGAUCUUCGUGGCAGAUCUGUCCAAAUGGCAGUAACCCAGGGAAGCUAGGUGAAAAGGCUCCUCAAAGGGAAAUAUUAGGAUGGUGGUAAUACAUUUGAAUCAUCGACUGCACCUUCUUGUAGUUAUUUGGAAUGCAUGGCUGAUGUAGUGAAAGCUCUUAACGUCGACGGAGCGUGCACUCACAUGAAAUCUUCCUUGGGUGGAAUUCGGAAAUUGGAAUGGUGGUAAUGGGCAGGAGAAUCUCUUUGUAUCAUUUUUCUCGACAUGGCAGCUGAAGUAAGGUUAUGGAACAUCUGAUUCUAGCAGUAUGCUCCAUCUGAAGAUGUUCCUUUAGUAGCUGAUUCUGCCAUAGGCAUUUUCAGCGCGGCCUUUGCUCACAUCACCUCCGUACUACCACGUAAUUCUCCCCAUCCUUCUCCACCUUGACGUGGUUGGUUAAGCGGUGCUCCUACAGGUGAGAGUGCCUACGAUCCAAUUCCUGAUAAAAUAUCAGGAGUCUUCUUUGUUGGGCCAAGUCAGGAGCAUAUAUGGAUAGUGGUCACCAUUGGAUGGGACCUUUCAAUCCGAAAUUGCUGAAAUAGUGAAGGUGAGUAUUUUAAGUUCAUAUUAUCUCAUAUCUUGCCUAUUAUGCACUGUUUCAACAAAUAACUGUCCAUUGUCAAUUACAAUCUGGAAUGCUUAUUUUUCUUCCGCAACCCUUUUGUCUAUAUGUUAAGACAUGUAUUUUGUAUACAUUUGGCUAAUUGCUAAGCCACUCUCGGGGAAAAAAUGGGAAAGGAAAUCAUCAGUUGGCCUUUUCCUUUUUAGCGGAUAUGUAUUCUUGAUUCUCUCUGCAAUGCCAAAACAGAGCAUGUCGUGGAGGUGCUAUUAAUUGAUUAAAUUUGGAUGCUUGAAAUCAUGUUACUAACCUUUUGAUUUAGAUAAUUAUAAGUUCGUCAAUUUUUCUGUUCAAAUUUUCACGAUACAAUGUGUUUUAUGUUGCCACUUAUAGUACACUUAUAGUAUUUCCUUUUGGUACUCUACCAUGGACCCUCCCUGGCAUGCAAUGCAGCAUUUUAAAUUAGAUCUCAUACGACUGAUAAAAAUCUUGUGUGCAAGUCCAACCAUGAUUAGGAGCUUUGUUGCAGUAAAAUACAUCUCAAGCAUUGAGCAUUACUGAUGAAGACCAAGCCACUACAGGGGAUGCACUUGAUCUGCCAUCUUCCUCUGUGCAUUGGAACUCCUAGACAUGUCCGAAUAUUCAAAGCCACAAAAUGGCCUUCUUCUCGCAUGACAUAUCAUUCCAAGCUAUCUCCCAAGGUUAUUAUUCUUAGCAAGCAUAUUGCAUUCUGGGUAUCCCAUCCUUUCCUUGAAAAUGUGCAGGAAUUGCUCGGAGAAGCUUGGGUCUCAUUCAAGAAGGCAGAAUAUCUUGAGAUUGUCAAUUUCUUUUAUGUCUUUUGUUACGGUCUUGAAAAUUAAUUGCAGUAUUUUGGUUCAUCUUUAUUUAUCAUUGUGUGUACAGACUGAUAAACACUUUGUACACAUAUACAUCAGUGGGUUAUAAGUUAUAAAUGAUUGUUCACGGGCUGGGUGUUUUGAGCAUGUAAUAUAAUGUCUUGGAAUGAA
This is a long non-coding RNA of Lolium rigidum, 2493 nucleotides long. RefSeq lists it as uncharacterized. The transcript has 5 exons. The record is from RefSeq and is a predicted model, not a curated record. NCBI's taxonomy places the organism in Eukaryota, Viridiplantae, Streptophyta, Magnoliopsida, Poales, Poaceae.